GGCUCAGCAGUCGGGUCUUCCUUCAAUGGUUGUACUCGAGUGCUUUGCCUUAUCUUCUAGGCUCGCGUCGCAAGGCGCAAGAUUCUAGGACUUUUACUGUGAAAAAAUUAGAGUGUUUAAAGCAGGCACACGCUUGAAUACAUUAGCAUGGAAUAAUGAAAUAGGACGUUUGACCCUAUUUUGUUGGUUUCUAGGAUCGACGUA
This 204-nucleotide ribosomal RNA is filed under the name uncultured fungus. RNAcentral's name for it is "partial small subunit ribosomal RNA". The stretch from base 79 to 204 matches the Rfam family "Eukaryotic small subunit ribosomal RNA", at positions 737 to 864 of the family's 1831-position model. Lineage: Eukaryota; Fungi. The record is from RNAcentral.